RNAcentral lists this ribosomal RNA (2174 nucleotides) under Childia sp. UJ-2011-nsp-1. RNAcentral's name for it is "eukaryotic LSU rRNA". It matches the Rfam family "Eukaryotic large subunit ribosomal RNA", at positions 39 to 2111 of the family's 3401-position model. The record is from RNAcentral. Lineage: Eukaryota; Metazoa; Xenacoelomorpha; Acoela; Childiidae.
CAUAUCAAUAAGGGGAGGAAAAGAAACCAACUGGCAUUCCCUUAGUAACGGCGAGUGAACAGGGAGAAGCCCAUCGGUGAAGAAUCGCAAGAUUCGGUGUCCGGUUCGGAUUGGUGCUAUGUUGAAGUUUAAUUGAAACUUGAAAUCUGUUGAAAAACAGUUUCAUAGAGGGUGAUAAACCCGUAAAAGUUUCUUUAUCUUUAACGUCGGCCCAGUCUAAUGAGUAGAGCUAUUUGAAAGUGUAGCUCGAAGUUGGAGAUAUGUCUCUCCAAAGGCUAAAUAUAAUUGCAAGUCCGAUAGCGAACAAGUACCGUGAGGGAAAGUUGAAAAGCACUCUGAAGAGAGAGUGAAAAGUACGUGAAACUGUUGAAGGGGAAUUGAAGGGAACGUUACUGUGUUCAUUGCCGUCAUUUUACAAUGAUGGCUUGCGAACAGUGGUGUUGUUUUUGAAAGCCAUUGAUUGGGGCCACAGUCACCAAUUGUUUUCGAACUUUUGGUUGGUGUGCGCCAAUAACUUGGAUUAGAUACUUUUCCAUGCAUUGUGUUAGUAAAAUCAACACCAUAUUCAGUGUUCUCUCCAACCCGUCUUGAAACACGGACCAAGGAGUUUGAGUUGCCCGCAAGUGAUUGUGCCGAUUGAAGGCGUACACGCGUAAUGAAAGUAAAUAUUACUUAGCUUCGGCUAAGUGAUUACUAUGUGGUGAUAGCACUAAAACAGUGUCUGGCAACCACGAGCGGUCUAACCACUUCGGUGUGUGAUCGACUUUUAGCGGGUAGCUCAAGACCCGAAAGAUGGUGAUCUAUGCUCGGGCGGGGCGAAGCCACGGGAAACCAUGGUGGAGGCCCGAAGCGGUUCUGACGUGCAAAUCGAUCGUCUGACCUGAGUAUAGGGGCGAAAGACUAAUCGAACCAUCUAGUAGCUGGUUUCCUCCGAAGUUUCCCUCAGGAUAGCGAAGGCUCUUGCUAAGCUGCGAAAGCAGUUUCAUUGGGUAAAGCGAAUGAUUAGAGGUCUGGGGAAACUUGUUUUCUCCACCUAUUCUCAAACUUUAAAUCGGUGAGAUGUCCUUGUGACUUAAUUGCACUUGGACUAUGAAUGCAAGCCUUCAGUGGGCCGUUUUUGGUAAGCAGAACCGGCGAUGUGGGAUGAACCAAAUGUUGGGUUAAGGCGCUUAACUACUUGCUCAUGAGUAACCACAAAAGGUGUUGAUUGAUAUUGACAGCAGGACGGUGGCCAUGGAAGUUGGAAUCCGCUAAGGAGUGUGUAACAACUCACCUGCCGAAUCAAUCAGCCCUGAAAAUGGAUUGCACUAGAGCUCGUGGCCUAUACCUAACCGUGAAUGUCAAUUUCUAUCAAGUUCCAUCAAAUUAAUUUUUGUUGGGCAAUAUAGAAUAAUAUGAUGCGUGAACAUUGUUUACGUGGAUUAUACAUUCAUGAGUAGGAGGACGCAGCAAUUGCGUUGAAGGAUACGCGUGAGCGUAUUCCUGAGCGAUUGCUGGUGCAGAUCUUGGUGGAAGUAGCAAGUACUCAAAUGAGAACUUUGAGGACUGAAGUGGGUACGGUUUUCAUGUGAACAGCGUUUGAACAUGAGUUAGUCGAUUCUUAGAGACAGGCGAAAGCCUUAAUCAUGUAUUGUUAGUUUCAAACUUGCAACUACUGUGUCUCGAAAGAGCAUCGGGUUAAAAUUCCCGAACUGUUUCUAUCGGCUUUACAGGCGGUAACGCUAGCCUAAUCUAAUUGGAUUGUGUGGCCCUGAUGGAGAGUUCUCUUUUCUUCAUAACAAGCAUUUAGUGUCCUUGGAAAUGGUUCGUCCAGCGAUAAGGCACGCAGCUUGGAAGAGCACAGCAGCAUUUGUUGUGUAUCAGUUGGUCAGAUGGUCCCUUGAAAAUUAGAUGAAGCAUUGCCAAUAGAGACAAUCGUACCAAUAACCGCAUCAGGUCCCCAAGGUGAAAAGCCUCUGGUCUUGGAACAGUGUAGGUAAGGGAAGUCGGCAAAUCAGAUCCGUACCUUUGGAACAAGGAUUGGCUCUGAUGGUUGGGUACGGCAAGCCAUUGAUUUUAAGCAUCAAUUGGUCUUUUCGUGUGGUGGUGUAGCUUCGGUUGCGCUGCUUGCGUUUGGCUGAUUGUUUGUGUAAGAAUCUUUGGUCAAUCUGCUGUACAUUAACAACCAAGCUCAG